AACCACCUAUCCGUCCAGAACCU
RNAcentral lists this non-coding RNA (23 nucleotides) under Arabidopsis thaliana (thale cress). Lineage: Eukaryota; Viridiplantae; Streptophyta; Magnoliopsida; Brassicales; Brassicaceae. The record is from RNAcentral.